This 29-nucleotide small RNA is filed under the name Bombyx mori (domestic silkworm). RNAcentral describes it as "ovarian small RNA-8696". Lineage: Eukaryota; Metazoa; Arthropoda; Insecta; Lepidoptera; Bombycidae. The record is from RNAcentral.
UGGACACACACGUCCAGUACAUCGGGCUG